RNAcentral lists this long non-coding RNA (3183 nucleotides) under Arabidopsis thaliana (thale cress). RNAcentral's name for it is "potential natural antisense gene, locus overlaps with AT3G21760 (AT3G21755)". Lineage: Eukaryota; Viridiplantae; Streptophyta; Magnoliopsida; Brassicales; Brassicaceae. The record is from RNAcentral.
UGUAAAUCACCCAUUAAAUAAUCAUCCAUAUAAAAAAAACUUCAAAUACCUGAAAACUUAUCACUCAAUCUGUCUAACAACUAUAGUCACCAAAAUUAACGGGAAAUGACGUAGCAAAAAUCUUUUGCUUGGCUUGAGAGUCUUGUGAGACUUUUGAUUCAUCUCUCUUAAUCAUUCACUGUCUUUAUCUUUUAGGUUAUAAAUUAUUUUUUCUUACAUUAAAAAAAUAAAACUAAAGUGCACAACUAUAAGUCUAGCUAAGACUACUUACUUCCCCACUAAGUACGAGUGACUAUUUUAAAUUUUAAAUUUCUCAUGAUUCCAUUUUAAGAAUACUCAUAAUUCAAGACAUCAAACUUAGGCUUCAAGCAACUCCCAAAGCAGAGGAAACUAUUUUUUAAUUCCAUUUAUUUAUACUACAUUGUGAAGUGGAUAUGAAACAAGGCCCAUAAAUGUCCACUAGACUAAGUUUGACCCAUAUAGUAUAAAGGGUCACCUAUAUGGCCACACAAUUUAUAUAUGUAGUUUUUAGGUUUAGAAAGCUCAAUAGUUCAAGUGUACAACGUUUGGCAGUUACGAAUCUAGAAUAUCUGACUAUGUAUAUCAAAAACUCUGUAUAGUGAAGUCAGGAGUUUCAAUUCUUAUAAAGAUAUUUUCAACGAAACAUGGAAUUCAUCCUAGCCAUGGAUGAGAAUAGUCAAAAGAUGUUUUUUAGCGAACGUCUUCAAGAGAUUUAUCAGUGACGUUUUCGACACUAGUGAAUGUAAUUUUAAUAUCAAUGCAAGUAAAGAAAGAAAAAAUACAGUAAGUUACUAAUCUGGUUCAAGAGAUAUAUGUCUUGAAUCUCUGCCAACAUGUCUUUUUCUUAUAAGUGCUAAUAUAUAUGUUUCUUCGUCUUCUGAGACGAGCCUCAUCAUCUUAGAUUCAAGAGAUAUUCUUAGUGACGUCUUGAAUAAACUUUAGAAGAGCAACGUGCGAAGAUCCACCGUCCAUUAAAGCUACGUGACUCUUCUCGCUCAUCUCCUUCACUCUACUCCUCACGUCACUAUCCUGCUCCAUCAAACACCGGAUCCCUCUCUCUAUCUCCUCUGCCGUCAUCAACUCAUCAUCCGCCGCCAUGAAAUCUCCUCGGAAACUAUUUCGGACCUCCACCGCUAGCCCUAGCUCCUCAACCAUCUCGAACGCGUUAACUUGUUGCUCUGCGUAAAGCGGCCACGUAGCCAUCGGAACUCCGAACCAUAGACUCUCUAGCGUCGAGUUCCAUCCACAAUGCGACACGAACCCUCCGAUCGCAGGAUUUGCUAGAAUGGCGCUUUGUGGAGCCCAACCUACAAUCUUUCCUAUCUCUGCCGUCCGUUCCAAGAAUCCUUCCGGGAGAAUUUCCUCAAGAUUCGUAAAUUCUUCGGGAGGUCCUAUCGAUCCUUUUGGUUGAGCACGACGAAGAGACCAGACAAAGCGGUGACCACUUCGCUCAAGCGCGAUUGCGAUUUCUUUAGCUUGGCCCUCACGGAAACCUCCCAUGCUUCCGAAACAGAGGAAAACAACGGAUUUACGUGGCUGCUCGUCUAGCCACCGUAGGAUCUCCGAUUGCUUAUCGUCAGAUGAAUUUGGACCGUUGAUUUUAAGAUUCAUAACCGGUCCAACUGUGUACACCGUAGGCAGAGGACUAUCUACGCCGGAGAAAAACUUCAUAGCUUGAGGCUCAAGCUCAGCGAAUGUAUUUACCAAAAUACCUUUAGUUUCUCGGAAUCUUCUGGUUUGUCUAAACAUAACCGGUAACCACUCCUUGGUUAAUAGAACCGAGGGGAAACACUUAACCGGUAAAGGACGAGUCAAACAAGGAACUUCCAGCUCAGUAGUGUCCGAGUCCUUGAGGUCACUAACGUCAUAGUUCUUAACGUCGUAAAGGUAUUCAACAUGAACUUGCAAUCCAAGAAACGUUGCGUUGGAUGUGUAAAACAUGUAACUGGGAACACCAAACUCAUUAGCGACAUCAAUCAUCAUCAUGCAAAACAUAUCCACCACGAAUCCAGCAAGACGCGACGGCGAAUCUGGUGGACCCGGGUCAGUAAGUUUUUCCACCGUGGCUUUGACCUGCGGCUUGAAGUUAUCAAUGUAGUCGAAAAAAUGUGGUUUGGUGUCAUCGGAGUCUGGUUUAUCAGGGACGGAGAGAACGUUGUAGCUAAGACGUUCUUCAGAAUCAGAGGAGAGAGAAGCGAUGUAAGAAGAAGAGUUACUGCUACUAAAUCCAUGCAUCUGAGGGAUGAUGAUGAUGGUGAUGGAGAGAUGGUCGUCACGGUCAACAUGAAGCUUAGCUACCUCCACUAAUGGCCGGAGAUGUCCGUCACCAGGUGAUGGUAUGAACACCAGCUCCAGUUUCAUUUUUCAAAAUAUUUAUAUUUUUGUAGCAAUUGAGAAUUGGUUUCUCCUAUUGAAGGUUGAAGAUGUUUCGGUGAAGAGAUAAGAUUCGUCUUUAGCAUACAUGACAUGUGGUACUUGGACAUCUACUGAUGUUAGUUUAACUUUUGUCACAGGCCAUACAAUCUUGAUCUUCAGACUUCAACGUUAGUACGUUACGUUAGUAUUUUUUUCUUUUAAUUGUCAGCUAUAUACUGCACUAUCAUACAAUUAAAGGUAACCGACGUUUAAUUCAUUGAGAUUUUGUUGGCAUGUAUUAUUGUUUCUCGAGAUAUCAAGCAUGUGGUGGGAUGCAUAAUAGACAAGAGUCACAAGACACGACGCAGAACAAACAGACUCUCUUUUUGGUCCACAUAUAUAAUGACCUAUCCAAGAAACGUACUCCACUCUUCCACCUUCUCGGUUACUGAUGCGAAAGUAGCAAACAAAUAUUUCACAUUUUUCCAAAAAGUGUUUUUAAAAAGUCACCUAAUAUGAUAACUCAUAAAAUUUUCGUUUUGGUCCGUGAUUGAACCAAGCUAUAAGUCUAUUAUAACAUUCUCAAAAUGUAAAUUAGUAUUUCUAAGAAACCAUGAUGUAGUUGUUUUUUCUUUUUGUGGGGUGAUGUCAGCAUUGGACUUAAGGUGAGUUCAAGAUUUAGUAUGCAACUAAAGCACUUUCAAGUCGUGAACAGAAUCCUUCACUUCCCUAAAUUUUUAGAUAUUGGAACAACUUAUAGAUUCAUAAGACUAAAUCUUGUGUUGAAAUAUUGAAGUUCUAUCUCAA